GACGAACGCUGGCGGCGUGCUUAACACAUGCAAGUCGAACGGAAAGGCCCUGCUUUUGUUGUGUGCUCGAGUGGCGAAAGGGUGAGUAACACGUGUGUAACCUGCCCUUUACUUUGGGAUAACUUCAGGAAACUGGGGCUAUUACCGGGUAGGACCUCCUGUUGCAUGGUGGGUGUUGUAAAGUUUCGGCGGUUGUGGACGGACUCGCGGCUUAUCAGCUUGUUGGUGGGUAGGUGGCUUACCAAGGCUUUGACGGGACGCCGGCCUGGGAGGGUGACCGGCCACAUUGGGACUGGGAUACGGCCCAGACUGCUACGGGAGGCAGCAGUGGGGAAUAUUGCACAAUGGGCGGAAGCCUGAUGCAGCAACGCCGCGUGCGGGAGGACGGCCGUCGGGUUGUAAACCGCUUUCGCCUGUGACGAAGCGUGAGUGACGGUAAUGGGUAAAGAAGCACCGGCUAACUACGUG
This 468-nucleotide ribosomal RNA is filed under the name uncultured bacterium. RNAcentral describes it as "partial 16S ribosomal RNA". It matches the Rfam family "Bacterial small subunit ribosomal RNA", at positions 28 to 507 of the family's 1533-position model. The record is from RNAcentral.